Molecule: long non-coding RNA, 4221 nt
Filed under: Homo sapiens (human)
Lineage: Eukaryota; Metazoa; Chordata; Mammalia; Primates; Hominidae
Description: HSALNT0301049
Source: RNAcentral
GAGAAACACUAAGACUCAGCAGAUAAGGAUGGAGGCGACUCAACAUCACACUGAGACAGAUAUGAGCCCUGCAUUUCUGAAUGCCUUGAAAGAAAAACCAGCAAGUUGGGAGGGCCGUGUCUCCUUAUCAUCUUCCAGGAAUUCAAAACCGUGAUUUCCAGUUUCCAAAUGCAACUCAAGCUCCAUCACCCUGUACAUCUUGCACGGUUUCUCCAGCAUAUCCUGAUCGCCACCUCCAGACCCUUCUGAUAGAUUCAUUACCUGAAUCUAUUUGAUCCUGAACUCCUGCUCUCCCUUGGCUCAACCUCAUCACAGCCAGAAAGGAUGAGAGCUCUUUAAUGAAGUGCAUACAUGUCAGUUUCCCAGGACACAAACCAAAGUAAAGAAGAAUGGAGCAUGCUCCUAUAAAGGAAAAUAAAAGGAGAUCCAUAAAGCAAAUCCAACUCAUGGACACUUACUAAACAUGCACUGUGUUCAUGUAAUGGCUCCAAGAAUCUUAGUGGACAUGGACGGAAGUACACACCUGGAGUGGACCUACAGAAGCUCAGAGUCAAAUGGCAGAAAGAUGAUAUGGGCAUUGAAUACAUUAAAUGAAAAUAAAAGUAAUAAAUCACAAGAGAAGAGAGUAACUGAGGGUGUCACUGGGCAGUACAUUAGCAAUUAAUUACCAGACACCUAUGCAGUUAAAAUGUACUGCUGGCCUUCAAAGGUGAAGGAAUCCAUGGCCUGGAAUGACCAUAAAAAAUUUAUUUUAACAAAAAGACAUGACUGUAGCCUUUUAGGGUAAAGAGAUUUUAACAUUUGAAGAGCAGAGAGACAGGUACAGCAUUGCAGGCUAGGAAAUGUGGGAGUUCAAAAUGGCAGACCAGGAGGAAGGCAAGUUGUGUUUGGGAAAAUUGACUUUAUGGUUAUUAGAAAGACCAUGUAAGCAAGCAGAGAUCAAUUGUGCUAGAAAUGUUUUUCAAAUUGAGCAUCUGGUGUGUGUUAGGCACUGCUCUCGGCACUGGGGAUACAGCUGUGAACAUGAUCAACAAGGACCCUGCAAUCAUGGAGAUUAAAUUAUAGUGAGGCAAACAGAAUAUAAAUAAAUAUACACAUUAGGUGAAAGCCAGACAGCUUCGGGUCUUAUGGAGAGAGUUACUGUUGGAGCAUGUACUAGAGAAUGACUAAAUGGUAACUAUAUGGGAUGGUCGAAGAUGACCUCAAUGAGGAAUCUCUACACUUAGAUAAGACCCAAAUAGCAAGAAUGGUUCUUGUUCUGUAUUAUAAUCAAGAGGAAGAGGAUUUCAGGCAGAGGGAAAAAUGGGAUCCAUGGGCUAAAACAGGUACUUGAAUGAUGUUUUUGAGGAAAUAAAUGAAGAUCAGGGUGGCUAGAGCAUUGUGAUGAAGGUUUACACCAGGUGCUGGCUGGUUUUUAUUCCUAGUGAGAGACAAUUGUUGCAUUUUCAGGGAUUUUGUAAGGCAAUUCAUAUAACGUUGGUAGCUUAUAAUUGACUAUGGUAGGAAUAUUCAUACCUGAGAAAUCGGCAAACACUGUGAAUCAGGACUCCCUCUUUGUCCCCAACCCUCAACUCCCAUUCAGAGAGCCUGUUUUUGAGUAUUUUCUUGCAUACCACAGAGUGAGUAUAAGAAGCAGCUGGAAUAGUAACUAGGAACCAAUCAUCUUAGGCUUUAUAAGGCAGAGAAAGGAAUUUUAAUUUUAGGUGUGUUGGGAAGCCAUUAGUGGGUCUUAUGUAGGAAAUGAAUAUGGUCUGAUUUACAUAUGUAAAGGAUAAUUCUGAGUAUGUUAUGGAACACUUUGUAAAUAGGUAAAAAGAGAAAUAGGAAAAUCAGCUAUUGCAUUAGACUCAGUUAGAAGUGGCAGUGGUUUUGCUAGGGGUUAUAUAAAAGGAAGAAAACUUAAUAAUGUUAGGCCUGACUAUAGGUAGAAUCUAUAGUUUUUACUCAUGAAUUGGAUGUAAGAAUUGAGGAGAAACGAAGAACCAAGUAAAAAUUUUGAGCUUUGGCUUGGGAAACUAGGUAUAUGGUAACGCCAAAAAGAGAGAUGUAGAGAAUUGAUGUAGGAGCAAAGCUGGGCUGGGAAAUUGAGAAAAUUAUACCUGCCUUGUUAAAGUUGAAACACCCACAUGACACUCACCUGGAAGGAUAUUCACACUUGGAUUGUUGGGGAAUAAUAAGAACUAGAGAUACAGUUUGAGGGUCACUGGCAUAGAGAUAGUAAUUAAAACCAGGAUGUCAGUUAUAUCACCUAGGGAUAAUGCAAAGAGAGAGAAAAGCAGGAGAUAAGACAGAUCGAGCAGUGGGAGAAGCCGGCAUUGAAGAAUGAAGAGGAAAACCAGGCGUGUCUAGUGCCAUGAUGCCAAGAGAAAAACCCAGCUCCGAGAAGACAGGAGUUUGUUUGCUAAUGUUAUUGAGGGAUAAAGUAAAAUACGAAGAGAGAAGUAACUUGGACUGGCGGCAAAGCGAUCACCAGUGCUCCUUCUAACUGUGGUGUCGAUAAAGUAAUGUGGACUGGAUGAAGGAGCCUCGUUGGAAUAAACUCAUAUAGGAAUGAUGAUACCGUGUUUACCUACUAAUGGGAAUGACCCUAUUGAAGAGGGAACAUCACGUAUGUUGGGGAGCGGAAAAGUCAAAGUCCUCGAAAAGGACCCACCUCCCAGCAUUAUGCUGGAGAUUGCAUUUCAACACAUGAAUUUUGGGGAGACGCAAACAUUCAGAUCGUAACAAGGGCUAAAUGACUUUUGGAAACUCAGCUGUAGUGCAGGAAGCACUUUGGAAACCAAUGGCUGAAAAGUUUGCUUUCUGUGAGAAGUGUAAAUCAAAGUCAUGUUUCUGUUUCCAGCAGUAGAGGAAAGAGAGAUAAACCUGAUGGACACAAGCAGGGCCCUGGAUCCACUUUAAAGGGACAUCCAUGGAAACCAAAGAGAUAAGACUGUGCCUCGUCAAUAAAAACCCCACAUCUCUGGGACUCUGCCACCUGGGGCAUUGUUGCCCUGAAGGAAGAAGCUGAAGGGGAGAUUUAGUUCAUUUGAUUAUCAGCCAGAGAGGAGCCAUCCUUCAAGGCCUCCCAGUCUCUGGCUGCAGCAGUAACUGUAACACUUUCAGCAAGUCUGUACCUAGGCCUUGAUCUGUGUGUAACUUUGGAGGUAGUUGAGCCGUUAUUUGAAAGAAUAUUAUUUUGAGCAAAGGAAGGAGCAGUAAGAGCUUUGGCUCUCCAAUGGGGAAAAAUGUAUUCAUCCUUUCAAACCUCUCAGUUAGACUUAGGCAAAAUGCCCAAUCUGCAGAAAACAAUUGGAGAUCCCUCUGAGGUCCUACUUGGUGGAUCUUCUCUCUUAGAAGUGAAUAGACACAGGAGCACAGGGGUCUUAUGCAAUAGAUAAAAGUUCCUGCCUCUGGACACACAGCUCAACCUCCAGUCUCUGAUAGAGGGAGGACCUAUGCCUUUCCAUGUGUGCCCAGAACUCACCAGCAUCUUCCCUUGCCUGCAGAGAUCAGUUCCUACUGCUCCUUCCUUGGCUCAAAAUAUAUAUUUUUUUAAAUAAUGGCUCAAAUACCUCCAAUGCUGGUAACUAAGAAUGCCUGAAAGGGACUGUUACUGGCUCACCUUAAAAACCAAAGGUGUCAUUUUCUGAACAUUGUUUACAUAUUAUGAUUCAGUAGCAAACACACUGGUUUGGCAGUCAGACCACGAGAGUUUAGCCAUGGCUGUGUCUGCUACUAACUUGCUGUGUGACUUUUUGUACCUCUGUUCAACUCUCUGGGAUGAAUGAGUCAUCCUUUGGGUGACAUGAAGAUAACGCAGAUACUAUUCAGAUUCAUGAUUGUCUCAUCAAGUGAGGCUGCAAUGGCCUCCAAUAAUGCAGAAAGCAAUGAGACAUAUUAGAGAAUCUACACAUUCCAAAACUGUGUUUAAGGUAUUUCACAGAGGUCAUUGGUUGAGAAGUGAAUUCUAUAACAAAUCUGUGAUGUUUGACAAUUGAAAACUAGUAAAACUAUAUAGUUACUUAAAAAAAAAAAGGGAGACUGUCAAUAUACCCAUUGCUUUAAAUGUGUUCACUUUUUAAGUAAUAAAUGUAUCAAAAUUAUUUUUUUUCAUUGGCCUCUGUCAUAAAACAACAACUCAAUGAUGAAAAAAUUCCAGAAAGUUUUUAUGACAAGCUGAGCAGUGGAAACAUGAACUUGUGAAAUAUUUAACUUUAUAUAAUUUCUGAAUCUUUCCAA